UGGGGAAUUUUGGACAAUGGACGCAAGUCUGAUCCAGCCAUGCCGCGUGCGGGAAGAAGGCCUUCGGGUUGUAAACCGCUUUUGUCAGGGAAGAAACGAGUUUCUCUAAUACAGAGACUUAAUGACGGUACCUGAAGAAUAAGCACCGGCUAACUACGUGCCAGCAGCCGCGGUAAUACGUAGGGUGCAAGCGUUAAUCGGAAUUACUGGGCGUAAAGCGUGCGCAGGCGGUUAUGAAAGACAGAUGUGAAAUCCCCGGGCUCAACCUGGGAACUGCAUUUGUGACUGUAUAGCUAGAGCACGGCAGAGGGGGAUGGAAUUCCGCGUGUAGCAGUGAAAUGCGUAGAUAUGCGGAGGAACACCGAUGGCGAAGGCAAUCCCCUGGGCCUGUAGUGACGCUCAUGCACGAAAGCGUGGGGAGCAAACA
Molecule: ribosomal RNA, 427 nt
Filed under: uncultured bacterium
Lineage: Bacteria
Description: bacterial SSU rRNA
Rfam family: Bacterial small subunit ribosomal RNA
Source: RNAcentral